Molecule: long non-coding RNA, 759 nt
Organism: Gossypium raimondii (Peruvian cotton)
Lineage: Eukaryota; Viridiplantae; Streptophyta; Magnoliopsida; Malvales; Malvaceae
Exons: 6
Source: RefSeq, a predicted model, not a curated record
GUUGGCUGUUGUCAAGAUAAUAAUGGCUGAUGUUGGUGCAAGCUUAAUCGAUAAGUUCGGAAGACGGUCGCUUCUCCUGGUAUCUUCAGCUGGAUUAUGUGUUGGCAGCUUCCUUACUGGGAUGUCAUUCCUUUUACAGGUUACCACAAGCAGGAUCAUCCCUUGUGGAGUGAAGGAACUCCAAUUUUGGCACUGAUUAGCAUUUGGGUGUAUAUGGGGGGAUGGAAGGAAUUCCUUGGAUUAUAGUGGCAGAGGUUAAUUUACUUAAGUUUUCUAACUUUCUCUCCAUUUACAAAUCCAUCCUAUAUUGCUCCAAGUCUUAAUUUUUCUAGGAACAUCCCUGUCUCCGGACAAGGGUACGUUGAUAUGUUCAUCCAAAGAUCUUCCAAAUAUAUGUUUUACUGCACAUAUUUAACAGUGAAAGGAUUAUGUUUCAGAUUUUCCCCAUAAACAUAAAAGGUGCAGCUGGGAGCUUAGCUGGUCUGACUGGGAAUAUUUGUUCUUGGGCUGUUUCAUACAACUUUAACUUCUUAUUCCAGUGGAGCUCAACAGGGGCAUUCUUCAUAUUUUCAGCAAGUUGUGGUGUUUGUGUCAUAUUUAUUGCAAAGAUGAUACGCGGAGACCAAGGGGCGUACACUUGAAGAAAUACAAGCAUCCCUUACUACUUCUCCAUAGUGAGAACCAAGUGUAUUAACUAUUUGAUAUACUUUCCUGCAAUAUUCCCUUGUAUACACAUCUCGUGUAUUUGGGGUCAUUGUA